UCUUCUUCCUUCUUCUCCCUUUCAGCCAACUUUUUGCCUUCCUGCGAGCUAGCACUUCCCAGAAAGCUGAUCAUUCCGGAGCUUCGCGUGGACGAAUCAUCGAGGCCGGACGCUUGUGCGGCUGCGAAGCAUCCUUGAAGGAAUCUCCUUCAAAAGCUUUGGGUUUGAUGAGAUAUAUGGUGAGGACAAUGCUGCAGGUAAAGGUGAAAGGUCCACCAACCAAAGCUCAGAGACAUAAAUUAAUGUAAUCAGAAAUGCUAUCUAGCUUCAGGUCCUACAAAAGAAGCAAGUCUAGAGUCUAAAAUCUCUCUCUUGAGGAUCAUCUAAUCAGAGAGCAGAAGAGGUGUUCUAGUGAUGCUGAUCGGAUACUAUCUUACAUGCACACAUAUUCAUUAACUUGCCAAUUACUUGGUCCAAUUCAUAGAUAAAAUGACAAUAACAAUGUCCAUUGAAUAAGGAUAGCAGUUGAAACUCCAUCAAAUGAGGAUGAUUUGGAUAUUGUAUAUGAGAUGAUGAACAUGAUCUAUUUUAUUCACAAUCCUUGUUUUGGAUAAGGUCUUGGCCAACUUUCCUCUUGUUACCCUUUUAAAAAAAGGCUUCUCUUAUUUUGAAUUCGUUGUAUGUGUAAUGUCUUUCGCACAAAAAAAUAAUUGAACUUCUUUCACGAUA
Phoenix dactylifera (date palm) is the source of this 669-nucleotide non-coding RNA. The record is from RefSeq and is a predicted model, not a curated record. Lineage: Eukaryota; Viridiplantae; Streptophyta; Magnoliopsida; Arecales; Arecaceae.